This 18-nucleotide non-coding RNA is filed under the name Mus musculus (house mouse). Lineage: Eukaryota; Metazoa; Chordata; Mammalia; Rodentia; Muridae. The record is from RNAcentral.
AUGCAGAAGGAUGCAGGA